UUUCGCAAUGCCCGAAAGGGUGACGAAGCGACGCCGCGUGGGUGAGGAAGGCCCUUGGGUUGUAAAGCCCUGUCAGGAGUUAAGAAAUAUAAGUGUGCUAAUAUCGCAUUUAUUUGACAAAGGCUCCAAAGGAAGUCACGGCUAACUCUGUGCCAGCAGCCGCGGUAAUACAGAGGUGGCAAGCGUUGUUCGGAAUUAUUGGGCGUAAAGAGCACGUAGGUGGGUUUGUAAGUCAGAUGUGAAAGCCUCCUGUUCAACGGGAGAAUUGCAUCUGAAACUACAAAUCUUGAGUGUAGGAGGGGAGAAUGGAACUUCUGGUGGAGCGGUGAAAUGCGUAGAUAUCAGAAGGAACGCCGGCGGCGAAAGCGAUUCUCUGGCCUAUUACUGACACUCAGUGUGCGAAAGCUAGGGGAGCAAACGGGAUUAGAUACCCCGGUAGUCCUAGCCGUAAACGAUGGGCACUAAGUAGAGGGGUUUUA
This 479-nucleotide ribosomal RNA is filed under the name uncultured bacterium. RNAcentral's name for it is "bacterial SSU rRNA". It matches the Rfam family "Bacterial small subunit ribosomal RNA", at positions 364 to 833 of the family's 1533-position model. The record is from RNAcentral.